AAAAAUUAUUUACCGACCAUUUAAAAAGUAGUCGGUGAUUACCGACCAUUUUUAGGGUAGUCGGUAAAAUAACGACCAUUUUUAGGGUAGUCGGUAAAAUAACGACCAUUUUUAGAGUAGUCGGUAAAUUACCGACCAUUUUUUAGGGUAGUCGGUAAAUUACCGACUAUUUUUAGAAUAGUCGGUAAAUUACCGACUAUAUUAAAACGUUUGCCGACUGUAUGGCUAAUUUAUUUUCCCGAAAAUCGUAGGUUAGUCGGUAUAAUUUAUUACAUUUGUUUACUUUGGGCUUCCUCCCCCCCUAACCCUAGCCAUAUAAAAGAGAAAAAAACCUUAACAACCCUCCUCUCACUCCUACUCACAGCCGUCCUCCUUAAUUUCUUCUCUCACCUCCCUCUUUUUUCUGUCUCCUCCCAACCGUUCUUCAUAAUAUUCAAUCUCUUCAUCAUUUCUCCUUUCUUAUCAUCAUGCAUUUCAUCCUUUCUAUUAUUGCCAAAAAUAAACUUAAUUUCAUAGAUUCACCAUAAUUGUUACGAUAACUAUGGAAGAUACAACCUUUUAAGCAAAUAUGGAGCCAACCUCGAAGGAGCAAUCACCGAACUCGCAAUUGAAGAUCGGGUGAAUUCCAGACCAAUUUCUUUUCUCGCUCCUUGUAGGCGGAGAUUCAUAAACUCAAGAAAAGGAGAAUGGGAUUAUGUUGUAAUCUCGAGGGAGGUAGCUUGUAUGAGUGGAUGAUGCUAGACUUGGGAAGUGGAGCACGAAGAUCGAAGAGAGAUAGUGAUCUUCAGUACCCUCCCCUGAAUUGAAUGACCAGGGUGAACAUUUUCUUACACCUACCCGAACAAAACGACGCGAGGUGUAACACCCUAAUAGUUCAUUGCUUUUAUAAAAUCAUUUUCCAACUUAAAAUAAAGGAAUUACUAUAGUAUUACCACCA
Long non-coding RNA from Spinacia oleracea (spinach), 937 nucleotides. RefSeq lists it as uncharacterized. Lineage: Eukaryota; Viridiplantae; Streptophyta; Magnoliopsida; Caryophyllales; Amaranthaceae. The transcript is spliced from 2 exons. The record is from RefSeq and is a predicted model, not a curated record.